Molecule: long non-coding RNA, 10472 nt
Filed under: Xyrichtys novacula (pearly razorfish)
Lineage: Eukaryota; Metazoa; Chordata; Actinopteri; Labriformes; Labridae
Source: RNAcentral
CUGCAAAGCUCAAACACUCAUCUUUGGGUAAGUGAUACAUAAUUUUCUCUUCUGUUCAUUUAUAACUCUGGAUGUCUUUGGAUUUGUCACAUCUUGAAUUUUUUUUCCCUCUGUGCUGGAUCAGACCUGAUUUUCCUCAUGAUGGUGAUGUCGGCUUUGUGAUGGAGCUAAGUCCCUUGUGGUUAACGAGCUGGUGUUACAUGUUUUUUAUGACUAUAGGUGCAAAAUGUACAACUGAUUGGUCCUUAAAGACAUAUUUUUAUUCUCUUAAUUGUGCUUUUUAAGGUAGUAGCUACCAGAGAUUUCUACUCAAUAUUGGGUGAAAUUCAAGCUGAGCACCUGUGACCUAUUUUUCCACUCAUUUUUACCUAGUUCAAAUCACAUUUAUACCAUCACUGUGUCAACUGUUUCAUAUUAGUUUAGUAAUUUUGAUUGUUUAUUGAUUUUAAUUCUGACAGGAUAUGGUUCAAUGAGACUUUAAUUCACUUAAGUUUUUUUUACCUCGAUAGGAUGUGGUCCAAACAAAGACCUAAUAUUUUAUUUUAGAUUUAAGGGUUUAUAAAAACGUACCCAUAUGGGCUGUGUGGCAUCAAAAAGAUAAUUCUCCCUAAUCAAUAGGGAAACAUUUUCAGGGGUUUGUGUAAAUGAACACUCAAGUACUCUCGCUGUACACCUUUAUCCAAACUCCAAGUAGAGUAUGCACCAACCACACCAAGGUUAAGCAGCCAUCUUAUGAAACAAGAGGGUUAACUUUAACAUAAAUCUUUGUAACCAGUUGCACUCCUGGGAAGAGGAGUCUGGUGGGUAAAAAGAGGUCAUGGUCAAAAAAUUAAAACUGCAACUGUGGGUUGUGAUCAUAGACUGUAUAUUGAAUGGACACCAUCUGCCUUGUCACCAGGUGAAGCCACCACAAGAACAGCACCCUCUGGUGACGGGCUUCAGUAUAGGUCAUUAAUCCCGCCUCCUCCAGCAAUCCCUAUGGAGCUGUGGACAAACUUUAGAAAUUAAUUACACAGAAUAUACAUUUUUUCUCCCCCCUGCUCGCGAUGUUGACAUGUAGUUGCUGUUAGACUGGUUUGUGCUCAAGUCCUCUUUUUUCUGUACAGCUCAAUUUUUAAAAGUUAUUAGGGGAUUCAUGUUUUCUAUGAUUGGCACUUGAUACAGCCUAUGGGCGUACAAAGAUUACAUAGCUCACCCGGGGAAUACGCAGUUUAAGCCGAGCGUCAUCACAGCGAUUCUCUGCGACUUUCCUGCUGAAGGCGUACAAUGCUAUUGGGCAAGCGAUGGUUCCAGGUAGUGGAGAAAACCCUGGAAUUACCACCAGCAAUUCGGCUUCAAAUUAGUAUAAUGACAUAAGGCGGAACCCAGUUGUCCAUAGUACAUAUAGUCUAUGGUUGUGAUACAUGAAAACAUCUCGAUUUGACUUGGCAAAACAACUUGAAAACAGUGACCUGCUCAGAUUUUUAUCAAAGCCACUGUCAGUAGUGAUUUGCACACACAUGUUGAGUGCAAACAAGAAUAUGGAAAGAAAAUGAGGAACUAAAAAGUGAUCAAUACAAAGAUUUAGCAGUGCUGCUGCUCUUAUGUCUUCAGUUGCAUGCUUGUGUUCAAACAAAAUGGUAUUUUUAGUUCAUGCAUAUUCAUAAUAUGAGCAAACCUGUUAAUUUUUGUAGCUUUCUUAAAGUGGUUGCCAUGCUGAUGUGCUAAUGUUUCAUGCUUAUGUUUGACAGUAAGCGUAAACACUUGAAGACCAAAGGUUGUCAUUAGUGGGUUUUUUUUUUUUCCCCGUGCACGACUAAAAUUUUCUAGAGGUCUCAGGAGCUCUGCCCCUGGAGUAUUCAAAAGUUGCAUGCUCACACUUUUCUUACAGCAUGAAGUGAAGGUGUGAAGUCUCCAGAGAUAGUACUGCAGUAGCAUGCUGCAACAAACAUGUACAUCAGUGAUUCCAAUCCAGGUUUAUUGAUAUAGCAUAUUUAAAUACAACAAAGCGCUGACCAAAGUGCUGUACAGUAAAAUUAAAAACAAAAUAAAAAGAACCAGACAAUUAACAUAAACAAUAAAACAAGACACAUGAACACAUUAAAAACAGGUGGACAUAGUGAUUCAUCCAAACAGACUGAUGUGCCUUUUUCUAAGCUGUCUUUGUCUAUGAAAAUGAUUCUUCUUUGGCAAUCGUGUUCACCCUGGUAGUUUUGCUCUUUCCGGUUCACACAAAAUAAUUUGUCAUGACCUCCACUUGUGUUUUUGGUGAAUUUCCCCUAUGUUUUCCUGCUGCGGAUAACUUCAUUUUGACUUCAUGCCAAAAUUGAACUUUAGUGGUUGGCAGGUUAUAUCAGGGUGACAAUUUUAGCAAUUUGCAUUCACUGUACAGCUCACCCAGAAAUUUCCAGGGGGGGGAUUCUGGGAGUAUUGUGCAAAUGUGAAUACAUGUGAUUCAAUUAGCUUCUGAGCUGUGGCGAAGUAAACUCAAGACUGUAACCUAAAAGGCGCACUGGAUUAUACGGCACACUGUGAAUUAAUGUGUCUAUGUUUCACGUAAGGCGCAACGGAUAGUACGGCGCAUCAAGUAUUGAUUGGUUAAUUGUUGCUAGCGUGUCCUCCGGGCCUGGGCUGCCUUACAUAAAUGCACUUCUAGUUUAGACAUUACAGUCAGGCAGCCUUGUAGACUGCUCAGGGGUCCUGUUACGGGGCCGAUCAGGUAGCGAGUGACACAACGUAACAUAAUGCUCCGAAUGUCCACUGAGCAGUUUUGUUGCUUACCAAAGUUGUACUUACACAUUUCGACAGAUUUUUGAGGAGCGCAUUGUACCACAUAAAAUUGGUCAGUGAGCACAACAAGUUAUCAUACAUAAGGCGUGCUGGAUUAAAAGGCACAUGGUCCAUUUUUUGGAAAUUGAAGGAUUUUAAGUGCGGUUAUAGUCCGAACAAUACGGUACUCAUUUAGACCUGCCUUUCUUUAAUCUGUCUGUGCCUGCUUUUGUGCCUAUUUUGCAUUUUUAUUGCAACAAAUUUUGUGAUAUUUCUUCUUGAAUGAUAAAUUUUUACAAACUUGCUGUCAUUCACAGUAUUUUAAUGUUUUAAAGGAAAAAAUGCUCUGAGCAGUGUGUGUAACCUGCUCAUUAGUGUUUGAAUGGAUUAUAUACAGUAUGGUAAAAUAGUUUACAUCAGGUAUCAUUAUAUCGGAGUGCUUAGUGACAUAUUAGUGAGUUGCUUGGCUAGCAAAUUGCACCACUAAUUUGCUCCAGCACUUAAAUGUGUCUGCUUGUGUGUAUGUGUGUAUGUGUGCAUGCACAUGUGUACUCUCACAGACACACACACGUACUCUACAGAGCUCGGUGCAGGACUGAACAGUGAUGGAUUGGGUCCCACAGGCCUCUGGUGUGUUUAUUUCCAGAGUCCAGCCGGUGGCUCAGGUCAUUCCAGGGAUCAAAGGCUACGACUGGAUCACAGCAGCUUCCCUCCCUCUGGUCCAGGGACUUACCCUUCACCCCGCCCCUCUCCAACCACCCCGCCUCUCCAGAUGAAGACGGAUUGUAAGUUUUGUGCUCAGGUUUGACAGCCUCUUCAUUUACUUCUUUCUGAUAGAAGACACCCUCCUGUACUCGCUGCCAGAGGCAAUAUAUUUGACUGUCAUUUCAAUUCUGAUUUUUUGCUCGUGUUAUCAUCAUGUCAAACUCUCCUCAGAGACGGAAGAUUAUCUAGCAGCUGUAAGGAUGGACAUGGUGAAAUCAUUACUCGAAUUAAGUGCGAUGUAGUUUGAGUGCAGUUAACAGAACAAACAAACUGAAAACAAAACAAACAAACUGGAGUUGCUUAUUCAAGCGAAAGUGGUGGUUUAUUCCUUUAAAUACGUGUCCAUUUACCUUUGAAAGACCUCAUCUUAAUUUUGAAAUAAUUCCUAUUAUCAAUCAAUCAAUCUAUGUUUACUGUGUUUGUGAUCUAAUCCUAAAUGUAAACUGAUAAACAUACUGCAAAUAUAACCUGGUUUAUUUUCAGUGAUAAAGCUAGCAGGCCAAUGGAACAUCCUUCCUAAACACAUAAAAUGUAAUAUCUUAAUAUCUUCUUUAGAUUUAAUUAUAAAACAGCAUGAGACUCAGCAGCCCCUCUCAGGAACUUUCCCAUCAGUCCCCUGCUUUUCACAGUCUGGUUCCCAUCUUACUGAGUGGAAUAUGUGAGGGGUUAGAUACUGGGGAUAAGCUCCCCUGGCUAAAACUCCAUGAAAUGGAGCAAUGGGAUUAUGGGGUCCAUGCACAAGUCCUAAGCAAUCCUCUGUGAAACAGAUUGCCCUUGUUGAGCUAUAGUUCUAAAAAGUGCUGUUUAGGGCUUUCGGAGAGGGCCUUCCAUUCUGGAUCUGAAUAUUUUAAAUACUGAGUUAAAUAGUUCUUAUCCAAUACUUGUAUUUGUUGAGAUAAUAGACUAAAUCUUUUCUUUAUGUCUACAAAAAUGAUUAGAGACUUUCACUCAAAGAUGUCUUCAGUUUAUACCAUUUAACCAAGCCUAUCUAGCCUUGUUGAAAAAUCACAUAUAAUCUAAAUUGUACUCAGAAUAAUGUGAUGAUAACCCCAGAUUCAAAACAGGUGAGACACUUUAAAAAUGCUGACGUAAACAGAUUGUGAUUGUUUGAAAAUCAUUUAAAUCUUAUAUUUAAUUGAAAUUUGUGCACAGACGACAUAUCAAAUGUUGAAACGGAAAAAAAAAAUGUGUAACUGUUUCACGAAAUUUUUUUGGCUUACUCCAAAACUGAUGCUAGCAACACACUCAAAAUAGUUCAGACAUACAGGGACAACAAAACGCUGAAAAAGCGGUGUUAAAAAAAAUAAAAAGAAAGAAAAAGACAUGGAGGAAAAUCCCAAACUAAUGAGGAUAAUUUGCAACAGGUUGGUAAAAUGCUUGAGUAUAAAAAGGGAAAUUUAGAGCGGCAGAAAUGCUCAAAAGUGAAGCUAGGAAGAGGUUCACCACUUUGAGAGACACUGUAUGAGAAUAGUUCAUUAAUCUUAGAAUAAUACUCCUCAGCGCAAAAUUGAAAAGAAUUUCAAAAUGUCCUUAUCUUUAUUAUAAUUAAUAUCAUUAGAGGAUUGACAGAAUCUGGGGAAAUCAUUGUACAACAGAGACAAGGCCAGUUACAGAUACUGGAUGACCAUAUUGUGCGGAACUGCAUUAAAGACAGACAUGACUCUGAAGUGGAACUCACUGCACAGGCUUAAAAUCACCUCCAGAAACCAGUCUGUGAACACAGUUUGUUGGUGCUUCCAUUAAUGCAGGUUAAAAGUGGACCAUUCUGAGAGGAAAGCAUGUAUAAACAUGAUCACGGCAACAUUCUCCGCUGGGUUCAUUUAAGGUGGACUGAAGAAAAGUAGAAAACUGUUCUGGGAUCGAAAAGUCCACAUUUGACAUUAUUACUGAAUGCUGUAGUCACUGUAAAAAGGAGCGGAACCACACACUCUGGUUUUAACAGACGAUCAGGAAGCCUGUAUCUUGGAUGAUAUGUUGAUACAUACUGUAAGUGCUCAUGGCAUGUGUCGUCUAAACAUCUGGAAGGGUCCAUUAAUCCUGAACAAUAUCUACAGAUUUUAAAGCAACAUAUGGUGCUCUCCAGAAAAUACUCUUUUCAGGAAACAAGCCAAAGACAAACCACAUUCUGCACAUGUGACAACUGCAUGGCUCUGUGGUAGAAACGUCCCAGUAAUAAACUGAUUCUGCUACAGUCCUGAUAUUUCACCCAUGAAAACAUGAAAUAUGAAGCAAAAACACACGAGGUCCUGAACUAUUGAGUGACUGGAAUUUUGUUAAUUUAGUAUUGCAUUAAAUCAAUUAACAAGCCAUCAAGUUCUUGUUUUUUGCGUAAUCUUUACUCUUUUUUUUACAAUUUCCACAGUAUCCCAGCUCUUUAAAUCAUCAGAUUGAAAACUGUCAAACUAUCAAAUAUAAAAAAAAAUAUCUUGGUAACUUCACUUUUACCAAACAACAAAUACAUUUCCCAUCCAAAAGCCAAUAAACUGGCUACAACUCACUCUUUCUGUGGUGAUGAAAUCUGCAUGAUGAUGGAAGCGAAUAGAGAGUGAAGACUGGUCGUGAUUCUGGUGUAAUUGAUCAGUUUUCCGCCAGUCUUCUCUUGUAUUUCCCUUUUUUAGUUUAAAUAAUAAUCGUACAAUUUUAAAAAUUAGGUGUCAUGCAUUGGGAUAAGAACAGCACAGUGAUUAAAAGAACUACAAGAAUGACUUUAUAGUAUUAGGUAACAACAGACAUAUAAAGAAAAUCUUGCUAAUGAUUUCUGUACAUUCUCCAAUAGAUAAACCUUAUAGAAGGGAGAAGCGGGCAGGCAAAUCAAGCCCACUUUGAGUAUGUGUUGGACAGGCUGGGCACUUUUGACAGAGGUCUUCUUCUAAUGUUAAACAGUCAUUUGUGUCAGCAGAUGAUCUAUAACUCGUCCUAUCAGUGCCCUCUUCACAGCGUGGCGCUGAAACAAUCUCCAAGCCAAACUGCCCUCCUCUCCCUCAGCCCUGCUAUCUUUAUAUUGAAAUAUUGUGAUUAUUCCCCUGGUUCAGGAGAGGCUUGCUAUAAUCGCCAGACAAAUGAUGUGGAAAAGCAAUAAAAAGCUGCUCCCAAGAGACUCUUCUAGCUGGCCGAGUGACACAGCCAUGAGGGAUACGAGCUGCUGAUGUGUCUAUGGAGAGUGAUCUGGGUUGUAGCAAAGCAGUGCCUCAGAGCCAUAGAUCUGCUCUGCUUAAAGGGGAUUUGACUAAACAAAUGGCAGCAUAUGGUAGAUGAGAGAGAGGAGGCGAGUGGAGAAAGGGAGAGGUGGCAUUGUUUUCAGAGAGAAAGGACGGGGGUUGCAGUGAAGGGGGGUCCCGUGUCUCUCCUCCCCUCUUCAAUCUUUCAUUAUGUUGUCACACUCUAGCUGCGUGCUUCCAGUAACACUUUAAUUAGCCUCCAUGAGUUUAAUUGUGCGUGUAUGUCUGCCAGCUUGUUUUGCUGCGUAAAUCUGUCUUGUUUGUUUUUACCCACUCUGAGAAUCAGUGCUGCUGCAGGAAACACUGCACACCUCCACAUUAACUCCUAAUUUUUUACUCCCAUUCUUUUAUUUCUAUUCAAAUGAGAUUUCUGCACAUGGCUCUUUCAGGAGGAUAUAUCCUGCAGCUUCACGGUAACAUUAUGUCUCCUAGAUGCUCGGGAGAAAUUCAGUGAUAUUUUGGAUGUUUUAAAUAAAUCCACCCCCUAAUGAUAUGUCACUUUGUGGACAAAGUUUUUUAGGCUGGUAAGAGUUACUUUAAAAGUUUAUACAUUUUUUCAUAAACUUUUACCAGUUUUAUCUGCUUGCCUUCACCCUACCUGACACCUGUUUUCCCUGUCUCCAAGACUUACCUGCAUCCAGCUCCACCACCUCCUCCUCACACCAACCUCUCCCUCUGCACUCUAGGACCCUUACCAUCUUUCCUGUAACCUUGCAUCCUCAUUAAUGGUACGUUUUUGAAAACAAGACCUGUGUAAGUCUGCUUUUAAGUUCUGCCAUAAAUCCUAACAGUGGUUUUGAUUUCAUUUGCAUGUUUUUGUGUAUUGUUCUAAAUAAAAGACUGACACAGCUGAUUAUAAACAAAAAGUCAAAAUGGUACAAAUAAAGGUGAUUUAAUGAGAUAAUGACAAACUCUGUGAAGGAGGUAAGCAAUGAGAAAAAAAAUCCUGUUUCCUUCACAGUAUUUUUUUUAUCCCAUGACAUUUCAACACCUUGGUUUGUUGCCACUGUGAUGGAAAACAACACCACUGCACUUUGAAUCACACAUUUAUUUACCAGGUGGUUUUAUUCGACAAAUCAAAAUGUUAAAUGGAUUAUGUUUUAGUUGUGGAUUCUCCUGUCUUUGAUCGCUCAAAGCACUUUUAAAUUACAUGUCACGUUCACCUUUACACAUCGUAUUCAUACACUGAUGGCAAAGGCUGGUAUAUAUAGAGUCCAUCAGUUUUUGACUAUUUCCAUUCACACACUACUGGGUGGGGCUGGGUAGGGCCAAGUGACUAACCCACAGACACUUGGACGGCCAAAGGAUCAAACCCUUGAUCUUCUGACUGGGAGAUGACUGACUCUACUAUUAAGCUAAAGCUGCCCCAAAAGUAAAAUGCACUUUGCCAAAAGCCUUGCAGUCUAGGCGCACCCCUUACCCCCCUGCCUGCACAAGGAGUCCGGGUUCAAUUUCACCCUGUGGAUCCUAUCCAUCCCUGCUCUCUUCCCCCUGUUUUCUGCUUUAUCCACUGACGCAUACCUGUCAAUAAAGGCCAAAAUUACAUCUAAAAAAAGACAUGAAUAUAUAUGUACUUUAUGUCAACUGGAAUUGAAUCAACCAAGUACUUCUUGGCAGUUUAAGCUGUAACGAAACACUCAGGUUCUGCUUGAUGUCAGUUGGAGACUGUUUCUCAAAAGCUGGGAGAAUAAACACGAUGGAUUUGUUUUACAGCGACAGCGCCUGUUUGAAAUGGAAAAAAACAAACAAAAACUUCACUGGAAUUCCUAAAAAAAAAAGAAAAACCAAGAUGGAUGCCUCGUGUUCUAACAUUUAGCCGUUGUUAGCUGUUGUUGGCUGUUUUCUGCUAUACCAGUUGAAAACAACACAUAACAGUAUUUUACUCAUACUUAGUACUGUGUCUGCAGUUAGACGUUGGGCAGUACUACAUAUACUACUUCGUUAAUUUCACAAAAACAAACAGAAGUGCUAAUAAAUAAAACAUUAAGAGAGCUUUCACUGUUACUCUUGGUUUCUGAUGCAUGGUGCCAUCUUGGAUGAUAACACUGCAAUCAAGUCAGGGUGGGUGAGGGUCAUCCGACUUUCUGAGUCAGCAAUCCCACUUCAGAGGGGCGUUACAGAUAAAUUAACCAACUAGGAACUUAAACAUUCGGACUUCCCAGAACAACUGGAAAGCAGCAUUAGUCUUGAUAGGCUGUUAACUCUGGGGACUCAGCAAUUUGACCACUAUGGGAAAAUUGAAAUUCUACACCGACACCAGAUAAAAAUCUGAUUAUCAAAAAAAUAACCAUACCAACCAAAUUAACCAAAUUACCGUAAAAGGAAGUCCUGGAUAUGUGUGGGCUUAUGCUGCGUUCAAAUUAGCUCGGAAGUCAGAUGUCCGAACUGGGAAUGAGGUCACACCCAAGUUACCAGCAUUUCAGUCACAAAGUCGGAAAAAAGCAAAAUCGUAAAGAUGGCUACAUUUCAAAGAUGUAGCCAUCUUGUUUCCGCCUCCGAUUUUGCUUUUUUAUGACCUGGAGACUGAAAUGCUGGUAACUCGGCUUUGACGUUAUUCCCAGCUCGGACAUCUGACUUCCAAGGUACUUGAACACAGCAUUAUAUAGGAUGCCUUUGUCAGGAUGAGUCAUGGUUGGUAAAAACUUUACAAAAAGUUAGGUGUAACAUUUUGAAUAAAAUGUGGUGCAGCAUGACUGGCUUUAUUUUCAGUUCAAGCUAGGUGGAGCAUUAAUUACUAAGCUAAACAUGAGUGGCAGUUCAUAUCAGCAUAUAAGUGGAGCGACAAAGUGCAAAAAAAGGAAAAAGGAGAGCAAGGAAAAGCCAGAUUACCAAAAUUAGACUCAUAUUUUGUUUGUGCUCUUGGACAUGAACCUCAGAUGAGUCAGUUCAGCGCCACAGAUACCAACUCAAUACCUUUGAAUUUGUUGUUUUGUUUUAUUAUAAGGAGCCAGGUCUGAUGUUUAUGUUGUUCUCUUGUUUGUUAGACUUUAUGUCUGUUUAACUGACUUCAAAAUGACGUAGCCAUAAGUUGCAGACAUAUGUAUAUAAGUGAUACUAUCAUGAGCCAAAUUGGGUUCAAAGGGCCUGAUCAUGUGCCCCGCCCCUGGCCCGGCACUGAUUUGUUCCGCUAGUGCAGAAAAUGUGUUCCUGGUUAAACAAAAUAAAAAAAACUGAAAACAAAAAUAAAAUACUCUUAGCUGACUUCCAGACUGUCCUCAAACAUCCUAGAAAAAAAAACAAAAAAAAAAAAAAAAAACAAUCAAAGCAGCUCCGGAAGUCUCCACUGUUUUUUUUCCCGUCUUUAUUCUUUGUGGCGAAACAAGGAGCAGGCAGUUUGCUGGCAGUAGGAGGUUUAGCAGCCUGGAGCUAACGGGAGCAUCAAACCACGGCUGUGUGUUUCCAUCUGCGUUCGUGUGUGUGUGUAUGUGCGUGCGUGUGCGUGUGUCUGGGGCUGCUGUUGUUGCUGCUGCUGCUGCGGCUGCUGCUACCACUUGCCUCCGUCUCCUCCCGUCUCUGGCCUAAUCAACAAAACAGCCUCAGCUGCCCCUUCGGAUCCCCUGCCAGGGUCCCUAUCAUCCUCUGAUCAAAUAUUAAUGUGUGAUACUGAGCUUGCUCACUAAUCCAAAGCCAAUUAAUAUUAUCUGUCAAUUAUUUACAGAUCCUGAGGUGCGGAGGCAGAUCCCCGAGGACUACAUCGGCCAGGUUCAGAAUACGAAAUUGAGCCCCCCCCUCAACACGCAC